GCUGGGCACAGUGGCGUGUGCCUGUAGUCCCAGCUGCUAGGGAGGAUGAGGCUGGAGGAUCACUUGAGCCCAGGAGUUCUGGGCUGUAGUGUACUAUGCUGAUUGGCUGUCCUCGGCAUCAAUAUGGUGACCUCCUGGGAGCAGAGGACCACCAGGUUGCUGAAGGAGGGGUGAACCGGCCCAGGUUGGAAACGGAGCAGGUCAAAACUCCUGGGCUGAUCAGCAGUGGGAUUGCACCUGUGAAUAGCCACUGCACUCCAGCCUGGGCAACAUAGCAAGACCACCAGCCU
This 290-nucleotide signal recognition particle RNA is filed under the name Cebus imitator (Panamanian white-faced capuchin). RNAcentral describes it as "Metazoan signal recognition particle RNA (ENSCCAG00000005819.1)". It matches the Rfam family "Metazoan signal recognition particle RNA". From Rfam's summary of the family: The signal recognition particle (SRP) is a universally conserved ribonucleoprotein. It is involved in the co-translational targeting of proteins to membranes. The eukaryotic SRP consists of a 300-nucleotide 7S RNA and six proteins: SRPs 72, 68, 54, 19, 14, and 9. Lineage: Eukaryota; Metazoa; Chordata; Mammalia; Primates; Cebidae. The record is from RNAcentral.